UACCUUGCACUCGUCUCAUCCUCAGAUCUGAUGCAUGGAUGUGGUGGAUUGGAUUAUUCAAGCUAUUGUGUGCAGGCCUGCAGGGUAGAUGUGUAGCGUUUUGAUAUGGUUCUUCUUUGAUCAAUUUAUCUGUUAGGCACCAGUAAGAUCACCAAUCGGUUAGUACAAUAAAUCAAAAGACUAAUAAGUUUUGCUUUGUUGGUAUUUAUCCUUCAUACUGAAUCCAUGGACACCAUGAACUGGGUUGGUAGUAUUAUUUCAGUUCAAGUGUGGAUUUGUCAUUUUGUUGGAACUGAACUGCAUGCAUGCAUACAUGCUGACAUAAAUUUGAGUCUUCGUUAAUUUGAUCAAUGCAUAAGUAAGGUCCAGUUCAUUAGAACAGAGCAGAGCAGAAUAUUGGUUUGCUGAUACAUGACAUUAUUGUAGAAUACAUCUUUUUAACUAAUAUAUGCUUUAUUGUAGAAUAUUGUUAGCUACACAGUUUCCUUAUUAAAACAAUUGUUUGGUUGUUUCCAGAUUACUAUCCAUUCAUCCAUGCUUGAUGCUUCUACUUUGGAGGUGCGUCUUCUGUAGAAUACUUGUGAAGUUAGAAACUCUGUGCUUCUAUCUUUGGAUUGCUAUAUUCUAGAGUUGUUAGUGGGCAAGCCUUAGUGGAUUUCUGGAGAUUGUGUUUUUUGGGUAGGAAUAGAAUUAUGGAUUUAUGGGAUACUCAGUUAUGUUUGCCUUUGAACCAAACCAAAUAAUGCCUAUGUCAUCUUUAGGAUAGAAGAUUUUAUGAUCCCUAUCUGUUUAAGCACUUAUUGUAGUUGCAGGACUGGCCUACUUGAAAUUAAGUUAAAGCAUGGGGCUAAUGCUGGUAGUGCUUUGAAGCUGAUCCAGCCGAUCAAGGAUAAGUUUUCAGGUGUCGCAUAUGCAGAUCUAUUUCAGCUAGCUAGCUCCACAGCCAUUCAGGAAGCAGGUGGCCCCAAAAUUCCCAUGAUCUAUGGAAGGGUUGACUGAAUAACUGGUCUGAAUAUAAGCUGGAUGAACUGGAUCCACUUGUUGUUUGUUCACUGGUCUUUGAACUUUACCUAAUCAAGCUAUGCAUAUCGCAAUGGUUAAAACCUACCCUGGUUUGCUGCUCCCUCCGCACUCCACGCGAAAAAUUGGGCGCGUGUCAACCUGCGCGAGGCUCGGUCGUUUUUACAUAAAAGCCCUUCAAUUUUCUCAAAAUCACAACAAAACCCAGUUCAUCCUGACGGUACAAUACUCAGAUUCAUUUAUUUUCCAUAUAAACCCCCAAACUAAUGUUUAUUUCGAUGAGAAGAAGAGAAAAAUCGAUAGUCCUGCUAUCUUUACAGAAAACACCCGCGAGCCAUUUUUCAUUUGGCCCCUCCCGCACAGCGGAACCCUAACCCCCUCCUCUCCUCCUGGCUCCCCGCUCCUGCCCGCCGCCGCCUCCCUUCCUCUCCUCCCCGGCUCCCCGCCACCGCGCUCUUCCUCCUCCGCCGGAGCUGCGCCCCCCGACUCUCAACACCCCCUCCUCUGCCGCGGCACAGGGCCUCCGCCGCCGCACAGCCGGGCCACGAGCCACGGGCCCGCGCGCUCGGCCCUUCCUCCACAGCGCCGCCUCCGCCGUGCGCUCGGCAGCCCCUCCUCCGCCGCGCUGGCGAGGUCAGGCGCAUGGCCGGGCGGCGCACGAGCAAGCGUGGCCGCGGGGCUGCCGGCGUGCGUGCGAGGUAGCGGGAGCCGCUCCUACUCUCCGUCACCGCGCCCGCUCCGCUGGAUCCAGAUCCGCCCGCUCCUGCUCUCCUCCUGGCCACGGGCCGGCCCCGGCGGCGGCUGCCGUCCGGACGCACAGCACCGACAUGGCGAGGCUGGCCGCGCUGCGCGAGCGCACGGACAGCUCGAACAGGCGGCGCUCGUCCCCCUUCGCAACCAGGAGGCGGUGCGGCCCCCGCCGCGGGCACGCGGAGCGGUAGGGGCUUGCCCACUCCGCCGUGCAAUCCCGCGCUCAACCACUCCCCAGCUCCCCGUGGCAAAGGCCACGCCCCGCUGCGCACCGUGGGAGAGCGGGCCGCUGCCUAGCCGCCCUCUUCCUCCUCGCGCCGCCUCCGCCGCGAGAUGCGGCCCUGGACUCGGCACCCCUCCGCCGCACCGCCGGGGCCCAAGCCGCGGGCCCGUGCGCUCAGCAACCCCUCCUCCACCGCGUGCACGACACCCCUCCCCCCCCACACACACACCGCGCCGUCAAGGUCGGAGCCUCGGGCCAGCGCGCUCGGCACCCCCUCCUCCGCUGCGGCCGCAGCCGCGGCCCCAUGCUCAGCACCUCCUCCGCCGCCGCGACAGCUUCGCAUUGGCCACAGCUCAUGGACCCCGUGUUUUCUCCUCCCCUGGUAACACUGCAACAGCAGCCUGUGUUGCCAUCCUCCAGUGAGCAUCCUCCUCCUCCCAAUCUCCGUUGCUCCCUGUCUGUCCAUCCUCCUCUCCCCUUCCGUUUCUAGGAUUCAGGUUCCAGAUCUUUGUUGUCACAGAUCUACUCAAGCCUGCUUCUUCCUUUGCUCCAAGGAUUUAAUUUGGGAAUGGAAGAAAAUGAAUCAUGAGUUGAAACGUUUUAAGUUCAUGUUAAUUGUCUAUCUUUCAUCAACAGGUUUAGAUUCUGGGUAAACAGAUAGGUAUGAAACUUAGCAGGUUUGGAGCCCAGAUGUGAGAGGGUGUAUUAUUGGCCAAAUUGCCUAAGGCUUUACCAGGUGGUGCAUGAACUCAAUACUAAUCUUCACUCAAAUACUAGCAUCUGUCUAAAUUGAGGUUCUCUGGAAUGCUAAAAUUUUAGUCGAGGUAGCCAACCUUCUCAGGUGGAAGAUUGAUUCCAAGGUUUCCUCUUGAUAGAAUGAUAUCAUCUACCUCUGCCAGUAUUUCAUCAAAAUGGUUCAAGCCCUCCCAUGAAAUUUGGAGCAGAUAUGGUAAAACAAAUUACAACUUAUAGUUGGCUAAUGAUGUAGAAGUACUAUCUUUAAAAAUACCUCAACAUUCUCAAUUUUGGCAAAAAUCUGUGUUUGGCUGAGAUUGCACAAUUUUGAGAGGAACUCCCGUGCCUGUGUUGAAGCAAAAAAAAAAAAAAUACCAGACUAUUGAUAACAUUCUUCUGUAUUGGAUGCAAAUAAACUGAAGCUAUUGUAUUCAGAUAUAGCAAUGUUACAUUUUCAUUGAAAAAAUAGGCAUUGCUUAGAAGGACAAGUAGUAGAGUUAACAUCUAAAGUUGCAUCCACAAUGUAAUUAGUUGGUUACCUGCCACACAUCUUCAGCAUGCCUUGUGUAAGACAAAGAGAGAAAGUCAAUCUUAUUUGGAGCACCCCAUUUUCUGAUAACCUGAAAGCAGUUCAUGCCAGUAAGUCCUAGGAUGGGCUAGAGGACAUGGUCAUUGAAAGGAAGGAAAAGGCAUCAAAGCAAAGUUUGGGAUUGUCACAGAAUAUCUGUUUGAAAAUUUUCAAAUUGGCAAAAAAAUAAGGUAUCCAGGCCAUUGGUGACCUCCAGUGGUCUAUGCCUUGCCCCUUUUUGGAUAAACAGUGAAGCAUUUGAUGGCAUUGUGCUGAAUUCCACUACACUGCCUGUUAUAUUUGUCUUCAAUACGUGCAUCAUUGUUGUGAGGGGAUCAGUUAAACGAUUUUGCCUUUUCGAUUGGUGAUCAUGUUUGGGUGCGGCCUGGAGCGGUGGGCAGGCAAGGCCAUGGGCGUGCCUCGUGGUGGGUUGGUCCCGGGUGAUGGCGAGAGGGCGGCGCAGCAACAUGGUCCUGGUCGAGCUCGAGCUCAAGCACAGCAACGAGUGCCGGCCAGCAUGCUGGAUAUGCUCAUGAACCUGCUUCCCAGUUCGUCAUUCCGAUCAUAUAUGUGUGACAAGAGCAACUAGCACUAUUAAACUUUGCCUCUAAACGACCAUGAAAACAACAGCUACUUUUUACUAUCGUCCUGCAUUUAGAGAAGAAAAUAGUAGGCAGUGAUCUAAAAACAGAGUACCUAUUGUGAUUGUAUUAUUUUUAUCCAUCUUCCUUAGCACUAAGUCAUGAACCCGUGGAUUGUUCCUACAAUUCGACAUGAUGUGAUAUGUAAAACUUGUACUUGACUAAAACAGUGCAUAAUGUUGCAGGCAAGCUGCAUCCUGACUGCUUAUUUAAACACUACAAUGCCGGAUAGACACCUAU
Panicum virgatum (switchgrass) is the source of this 4177-nucleotide RNA transcript. It is a transcript of the gene named basic proline-rich protein-like, with no coding region annotated. The transcript has 5 exons. The record is from RefSeq and is a predicted model, not a curated record. NCBI's taxonomy places the organism in Eukaryota, Viridiplantae, Streptophyta, Magnoliopsida, Poales, Poaceae.